AAAAAUACAAAAUCUUAAAAUUUCAACAAUAAGCAUACAAGUGUAUAAAAUCCAACAAUUUUUAACAGUUAGACAUCAUAAAACCUUACAACUCUUUUAAUCCAACAAAACUCAGUUCUUGAACAUUCAAACAAAACCCAACAAGGUGACCCAACUUUGCCCAGAAAUAAUGGCCGACAAGGUUUUGAUGGAGAUAAUAGAAAAUUUUAAUCCAUUGAUGGAGAAGUAAAAGAGAUGGUUGAAUGGAGACAAACCAAAUGUUGAAGUGUUGAAUCUACCCAGAAACAUCGAAUUUGUAUGUGUUGAAUCUCGAGCUUGAAGACGUGAAAUGGGGAACACAAAUAAAGAUGUGUUUGAGGAUGGAGGUUGAAGAUACGAAAGACUUGCAGAGUAAAGGGAAUCAUCUUCAAUGACUUAAGAAGAGAAUAGAAGCAAUUUGAGAAUAGAGGCCAUUCAAGAAGAGAAACAGAGGAACCAUUCUUUUAUCCCUCGAAACUAGGCUAAAAUGAAAUAUUUACCAAAACUACAAAUGUCGCUACCAGAGCCGCUAACCAUCAUCAGAAGUAGAGAGAGGUUGACCAAAGAAAAGAGAGAAAAGAUGUCUAAGUGGUACGAUACGUGGCCCAUCUUCUUCAAGCGAAAGUUCAAUAGGAACUGGCUGUUCCUGGUCGGCUUUGCCGUAAU
Molecule: unclassified non-coding RNA, 684 nt
Filed under: Hevea brasiliensis (rubber tree)
Lineage: Eukaryota; Viridiplantae; Streptophyta; Magnoliopsida; Malpighiales; Euphorbiaceae
Source: RNAcentral